This 64-nucleotide transfer RNA is filed under the name pig gut metagenome. It matches the Rfam family "tRNA". Rfam says of the family: Transfer RNA (tRNA) molecules are approximately 80 nucleotides in length. Their secondary structure includes four short double-helical elements and three loops (D, anti-codon, and T loops). Further hydrogen bonds mediate the characteristic L-shaped molecular structure. tRNAs have two regions of fundamental functional importance: the anti-codon, which is responsible for specific mRNA codon recognition, and the 3' end, to which the tRNAs corresponding amino acid is attached (by aminoacyl-tRNA synthetases). tRNAs cope with the degeneracy of the genetic code in two manners: having more than one tRNA (with a specific anti-codon) for a particular amino acid; and 'wobble' base-pairing, i.e. permitting non-standard base-pairing at the 3rd anti-codon position. The record is from RNAcentral.
CUCGUAGCCAAGUGGUAAGGCACGGGACUGCAACUCCCUGAUCGCUGGUUCAAAUCCGGUCGGG